AAAUGCUUUCAUAUUAAAUUGGACAAGCAGUGAAACCAAAGCCAAUCAGAAGAGGGGUUUGGUGGCUCAGAGGGAGCAUUGUGCCUUCUCUGCAUCUACUGUUCUUAAAUUCCUGAAAGCACUGUGGUGUGAAGGUGCUUUGCCAGAAAAAGCAAAAAAGGAAGCUUUGUCAUCUUUAGAAACCACGGCAUCACGCUCCUGAUCAAGUUACAGCCCAGAAUUUAUUGGUGGAAACAUGUCCACACAUCUGCAAUUCCUAAAAACCAUAAAACCAGUUUGUUUCUGAGGCCUCAUUGUAAUUGCAACUCCCCAGCUUUCCAUCAGGAGAUGCCAAAGUGGCUCCUGGAGGAAGGGAGGAAAGGUGUGAGGGGUGUUAAUCAGAAAUACCCAGGCCCUGUCCUCUCAGAUACUGAGAAAAGGGGGAUGGGACAGCUCUGGUGGCAGCUGGAGAGAAAGCCCCGGUCCUGUCCCCAAAUCACUGUGCAUUGGGGGUACCCAGGGAGCUGUGGAGGUGUUCAGAGGAUGCUGCACGGAGUAUGGAGCUGCUGCAUCCCACAUGUGUGAUCUGAGGUGCUGAUCAGAGUGUUGGAAGCUGAGGAACCUCCAGAUUUUGCUCUGUAUUAAUUAACUGCUAUGUACAUCUUGUGUAAUUAAAAGCAAAAGUAACUCUCUUCCUCCUCAGUGCACAGGCUCCACUCCACUGUUGUAAACACACUUGAGAUUGGAGCCGGGCCUUUUGCUGGCUGAACUUUCUGCUUUUAUUUCAUGUUUAAUGCUGCUUAUAGAUACUACCUGUGCUGUGCAGCAGCCAGGGGGUUUAUAUUAAUUAAAUGUUGCUAUGGAAACAGCACAUCAAGCAGAGGAUGGUGCUUCUAGGGGAGGGAGGGAAGGAGCUGCCUGUAGCAGAAAGGUGCGUGGCUGAUUUGAAGGGAAAAGGAUUUGCAGAAUUGUGUUUUUGUAAAGUUACCAGAGCCUGGGAAAGUCUCCUGUGUUCCUGUGUCCUUUUCCUUCCUAUGGCUGAUAAUUCCUGACUGCAUCAAUCCUCUCCUCUGAGCCCUGUGAGAAACCCCAGUUCUUUAGAAGAUCAAAUAAUCUUGUCUUCCCCUUGAAAUGUUCCCUAAUUCACAGUCCAAACAGCCUAGAAUCAGCUUUCAAGAAGUAAAAACAUGGUAUUACAGUUGAACACAGAGAAGUCAGAAACUGGAGCUCUGUCCCUGGUGAAAAAUGGGAGGCUUGACCCUUUGCAAGGGAGCAUAGUCAGACUAAUCUGUGUAGAUAUUCCUGAUGUCCUGCCUUGGUUAUGCAAAGAGCUGGUUUAAGCCAUUUUGAUAUGUGUUGCUCUUCCUCCUUCUCUGAUUGCAGCAACAGCUAAGACACCUGGCUUUGUCAGCACAGGAAUAAAAGUAAUUGUAAAAAAAAUAAAAAUCUCAUAAACCUAUCAUCCAUUUUUCCAUCCAUCCAUCCAUCCAUCCAUCCAUCCAUCCAUCCAUCCAUCCAUCCAACAACUUUUAUCUCUCCUCCUCGUAUCUGGAUGCAGAUCAGCCGUGCCACCUGCUUAUCAAUUAAGAAAGAACAGAUUCAUGGUCUGAUAAAUUUAGCAAGUACCAUGUAAGCUCUAAUUGGUGGGCAUGAUCCACUCGCCUUGCAUUAAUUCCAAAAGGUUCUGCUGAUCUUAUCACACAUUGUGUGCUCUUUGUGUUUUAAUCAUCCCCACCCCCAUUGCAUUGAAAUUUUUUGCUGUGACAAGCCCAGCUCUGAAGCAAGCACGUCACUGCUUUCAUUGACACUGAAAAAUCCUGUCUUGUUAAUAGUAUAAAUGGACUAGGGGCUUUGCCUUCCAGCUUAAUUCAAGAGUGCUAUCGGCAUGAGUGGGUUAUAAAAGCUCUUUUUCAGGAUAAAAGACAGUUCCUCACCAGAAAAAAAAAAGAGCUCAAACAUCUUUAUGACAUCCCAGUGCAAAAAACAAUUGAAAAGGAUUGUCAUAAAAGCAAGCAUGUCAGUUGUGAACUUUACUGAAUUGAGUCUAAUGCAAAAUUCAUGCCGAGGUGUCACAAGUGAAAGGCAGUUUAUUAAUCCAACUUAUCUGGAGCUGGUAGGCAGCAGUCAUGUGGGUGCUUUGGGGCUAAGUGAAGCAUGAUGUCUUUGCUGUCUGACUGAUCAGGAUGCAACGCCCAGCUAACCGUGUCAUGCUGCUUUAUUCCAGUCAUGCAUUAGAAAGCAUUUUAUUUCUCCAUUACGUUUGAGAAUGGCAAAGUGGCUCAGAGCUGGUGUGAAUGGAAGAAUUGCUCCAGUGAAUGUCUGUCUGCUGGCAAAGCAGAGCACCUAUAGAAAGAACAUAGUGGGCUUGUUCAGCACAACAGCCUUUCAGAGGAAACCUCAAACACCCUAAAGCAGCAGUGGCGUGGGACCAAUGCCUUCCAAAAGGAUGAGGGGAAGGAGGAAUUAAAAUGGUUUCAAUUAAAAAUGGAGCAGGCUUGCAAGCUGUCUCCACUGUCUCCUGGUGCUCUUGGGUAGCACUCAAAGUAGAUAGUGAUGAGAUUGACAGGUCUAGCCAGGAAAAUGGUCCCCCCCAGUGCUGGCAAAUGACAUCAAAACCCUUAGAACAGGGAUGAAACCCACCUCCUUGGAGGUUUAGGCUAACAGCAUGGUCAGGAUUUCCUCAGAACCAUGUGGGAAGUACAAGGGCUCUAAACGUGGCUGGCUAAGGGAUACAAGGCCAAAUUUAGCCUUACCAGAAGCCAGACCAAUGCUUCUUAUUUCUAACUGGGCUGAAGCAGCUGACUAAGGAGCUCAAGUCCCCUCAAGCGAAGGGCCAAAAGUGACAGUAAGAGAGGAGAUGAAGGCUGAGGAGUUGCUGGGAGGUGAAGGAGUUAGAGUGCAUGUUUAUUGGGGAGGUGGGUUACAGCAGGAGAGCCACAGCAGAGAUGUGGUUUACUGAGCUCUUGGGGGCUUGAAAACACUUCUGCAAAGGGAGGAGUACCUCAGCUUAUUGAAACUGAAGUGGGGGAGAGCCUGGAGGAAAGAACAGGCCUCUGGAGCUGAUACCCUGGUAUAAGUGUUGCUGGAAGAUGACCUGCAUCUAUUAAAAAGAUGUUAAAGUUGAUCCCUUUCUGUCAUGUUUAUGGAUGUUACCCAGAGUGGCUUUUAUCAGAUGUGCAUUUGGCUCAGCACUGAAUGAUAAUUGCAGCUAAAUAGUCUAUGAAAAGAGAUCUACAAAUGCUAUAGAGUGUAAGCUGGCCAAAUUCUGUCCCCAUCCAUCCAUGAGGUUUCUCUGAUAUGUGCCAUGGCAGAAUUUGUUUGAGAUGUUAUAGAGGAUAGACAGGAACUCAUUGCAUGAUUAUGACAGUGACCUGCUUUGUGUCAGCUGUUCCAAUGACUCAUUUCAUGAUUUUUGGAAUGUCACUUAACUUUUCUGUGUUGUGAUUUACUCAGCCCUGCUUAUUCGUGUUGGCCUGUCUUACAUGAGGAAAUUGCUCUAAGAAUUCCUUGGGCAC
Long non-coding RNA from Passer domesticus (house sparrow), 3494 nucleotides. RefSeq lists it as uncharacterized. The transcript has 3 exons. The record is from RefSeq and is a predicted model, not a curated record. Lineage: Eukaryota; Metazoa; Chordata; Aves; Passeriformes; Passeridae.